This 1414-nucleotide long non-coding RNA is filed under the name Gallus gallus (chicken). RNAcentral's name for it is "lncRNA (ENSGALG00010007260.1)". Lineage: Eukaryota; Metazoa; Chordata; Aves; Galliformes; Phasianidae. The record is from RNAcentral.
CGGAGGCUCAGCCCGGGAAGGCUCCGCGCGGUGGCGGCGGUGACUGUAGGGGACGGCGGCGCGGGAUGGGACGGAGCGCGGCGUCAGCUUUACGUGGGGAAUCAAAAAGCACUGUGUUGGCGUGAGGUAGCGGUGUUGUUCUGACUUGGCCUGAGACGGUGCUUUCCCUGGUAGUGCGGUGCUGCUUGGAGGAGGGAAUGAAGUAAUGGAGUAACGUUCCGGCGGUAGUUCUGCAGCGCGCUGCCCCGCUCCGCAGCCCGCAGCUCGGGAGCUGAGCCAUCCGGCUGCUGAGCAGUGUGAUGUAGGGCUGUUAGGUAGACCGAUGGCCGAGGUGUAACCGGUAAGGAUGAAGUGACAAGUUACAGCGCUUGCGAACUUGAGGAUCCGAAGGAUUUAAAGCCCGUAUUUGAGCCGUGGAAGUGCGCUUUGUUAGCUGUUGUGCUCAAUUAGUGCUAGCUUAGUUGGGCAUUUAAGGAGAAAACAGGCAAACGUGGAAAGACCGUCACUUGCCUACGCUGAAAUGAAGGCCCCAAGUCGUUCUUGCCCUGUGAAUGUGGCUUUCAAGUAGGUCCUGCCAGAAGGAUGCUUCAUCAGCAGCUGUUCAGCCUGUCACCAGGACCGGGCUGUAUUCCCGCUGAGCAACGUGGAAGCAAGAUUUAUUUCCAGAAGCAUUCUGGGGUUGUGUUGUGCAAAGCAAUCUCUCCUCACUGCUGGCUGAAAGGUGACUUCGUAGGGUUUUUUGGUGUUUGCAUGGCUUGUGGGAGUGGGAAUGUAGUUAUUGGGCAGAGAAUGGAGAGGUUUUGUUGUACGUGAAAUAAUUGAGUUGGUCGUUUUUCUCCUCCUUUUCCACAGCUAUUUUCUUCACAUAAAUAAGAUUAGAAAACACUUCUUAGUCAGAUGCCAAAACAAUAGUCUUGAUUAUACACAGUAGUAUCAGAAGUUGUGUGGUCUUUGCUAAUCUUUCUGUUUGUGGAAGUAAUGAAAAAUGACUUUAUUUCAGAAUUAGAAUUGCUUGUGUUUUAAAAAGAGACUUUCAUAGCAGGAGUAGGUUGACGAGGCUUCAAGUUUGAUAUAUGUGGUUCAGCUCAUACUAUUCUCUGUAGUUAAUAGCAGUAUAGACCUGCUCUGUUUUUGAGAAUAUGCCCUAUCUGUACAACGUACCUUGAAUAAACAACGAUAAUGAUUUUAGGAGUGCCAAUACCAACUUCUUACACACUGGUUGUUCUUUGUUGACUAGAUUAGCUCAGAUGUAUAUGGUUUGUUCUUCAGUGAGAGGAAACAUGCCAUGUAUUUAUAUGAAACAAUAAGUGUCUGCAGGCAGUAUUCCUCUGCAGAGGAAAGCGAAAGAAAAGCCACGGAUGUGACAGAUGAUAGUAAUGUUAGCUUAAAGCUUCUUGUAUGCAGUGAUUAGUAG